Long non-coding RNA from Lucilia cuprina (Australian sheep blowfly), 141 nucleotides. RefSeq lists it as uncharacterized. The transcript has 2 exons. NCBI's taxonomy places the organism in Eukaryota, Metazoa, Arthropoda, Insecta, Diptera, Calliphoridae. The record is from RefSeq and is a predicted model, not a curated record.
UUAAAUAUGUCUUGAUAUGUUGCCUACUUCCACAGGUGUUAACUCAAGAAUGUAUAUUUCCUGAAAACGAUCCUGAGCACACAGCAGCAAUUGAUCUCGUCUAUGGCAGAGAGUAUUGCAUUGAUAUGUUUGGUAAAUUUU